AGAAACUAGUAUAAAUUGUAGCAAUUAUACUAAUUUCUUAGCAUUGUAUUUGGUUUAUUUUUAUCUACUAAAUGUUUAAUAAUUCAUGUUUUAUAAUUGAAUAUCAUUUAUUAGAUGAAAACAAUGUUUUUGAGAAAUAAAGAAAUAACAAAAUUGAUUGCUGUAUUUGAAAGUUUAAUGCUGCUGAAUCUGUGUGAGAUAUUAAGAGUUAAGAGUUCAUCACAGGUUAAACUAGGGCUGCAACCGAUACUUCAGUAUUUUUGUAUUAGAUACAUUUUUUCAAUAUUACCCAUUAAUAUUUACAGAAAACAUAGAAUUAUAAAUGGUAUCAUUUUUUAUAUUUAUAGUAAUUGAGGAGUUC
Molecule: long non-coding RNA, 361 nt
Filed under: Androctonus crassicauda
Lineage: Eukaryota; Metazoa; Arthropoda; Arachnida; Scorpiones; Buthidae
Source: RNAcentral